RNAcentral lists this ribosomal RNA (253 nucleotides) under uncultured bacterium. RNAcentral describes it as "partial 16S ribosomal RNA". It matches the Rfam family "Bacterial small subunit ribosomal RNA", at positions 524 to 776 of the family's 1533-position model. The record is from RNAcentral.
UACGUAGGGUGCAAGCGUUGUCCGGAAUUAUUGGGCGUAAAGGGCUCGUAGGCGGUCCAUCGCGUCGGGAGUGAAAAGCUGGGGCUUAACCCCAGUCCUGCUUCCGAUACGGGUGGACUAGAGGUAGGUAGGGGAGAACGGAAUUCCUGGUGUAGCGGUGAAAUGCGCAGAUAUCAGGAGGAACACCGGUGGCGAAGGCGGUUCUCUGGGCCUUUCCUGACGCUGAGGAGCGAAAGCAUGGGGAGCAAACAGG